This 743-nucleotide long non-coding RNA is filed under the name Homo sapiens (human). Its description in RNAcentral is "HSALNT0373683". The record is from RNAcentral. Lineage: Eukaryota; Metazoa; Chordata; Mammalia; Primates; Hominidae.
AGUUCCACAGGGAGAGAACUGAGUAAGGAGACCUGACUUCCUCUGUGUGCAGGAAAGGCAGCUAUGAAGGAAGACUGACCUCUUUGUGAAGAUCUUUCUAAAAUAUCCAUCUCCGCAUCAGUUAGAAGGUUGUGGUCAACAUGAGAGCCUUCCUUAUGGAGCUAAGAUUGCUGCUGAAGCUCAUAAGUACCACAUCCUUACACAACGGAAUUCACAAGGGGAACAAGAUGGAUUUGGAGAAUGCGGUAGCAAGAUGAUUUUCUUGUUCUACCUUUAAAAAGGAAGAAAAUCAAGAGACUAUGGUAUCUGGCAAGUCAAAUGAAGAAUAUGUAUCAGAGUGAAAGAAAUGCUCAACUGUGUCCAUUGUCAAGGCUGAUUGGCCACAAAAGGGUAAAGAAAGACUGAGUACUGGAUUUGGCAAUCUGCAGACCUAUGAUGACCUUGAGCAGUUUCAAAGGAGUAAUGGGGACAAAAUGAGAUGGGUUUAAGUGAAAAUAGAGGAGAGAAAUUGGAGAAAGUAAGUAAGUCUUUGACAGGGUUUUGGUGUGAAGAAGAGCUUCCAAUAUUAUUUCUAACCCAAUAAGCUUUUGACUGCAUGCCCCUCAAUAUAUUACUUUCAAAGAGAAGGGUAUUUUUCUACUGGGUCUGUCACAUUCCUGUAACUACUCUAAUGAGCCUAACUCAUUACCACCUUAUGGAAUCUAUAGGUAUUACAAAAAUGAGUGUUUUUUUUGUUUUGUUUU